RNAcentral lists this ribosomal RNA (482 nucleotides) under uncultured bacterium. RNAcentral describes it as "partial 16S ribosomal RNA". It matches the Rfam family "Bacterial small subunit ribosomal RNA", at positions 30 to 507 of the family's 1533-position model. The record is from RNAcentral.
AUUGAACGCUGGCGGCAUGCCUUACACAUGCAAGUCGAACGGUAACGGGCCUUCGGGUGCCGACGAGUGGCGAACGGGUGAGUAAUACAUCGGAACGUGCCCGAUCGUGGGGGAUAACGAGGCGAAAGCUUUGCUAAUACCGCAUACGAUCUACGGAUGAAAGCAGGGGACCGCAAGGCCUUGCGCGGACGGAGCGGCCGAUGGCAGAUUGGGUAGUUGGUGGGAUAAAAGCUUACCAAGCCGACGAUCUGUAGCUGGUCUGAGAGGAUGAUCAGCCACACUGGGACUGAGACACGGCCCAGACUCCUACGGGAGGCAGCAGUGGGGAAUUUUGGACAAUGGGCGCAAGCCUGAUCCAGCCAUGCCGCGUGCAGGAUGAAGGCCUUCGGGUUGUAAACUGCUUUUGUACGGAACGAAAAGCCUUCUUUUAAUACAGGAGGGUCAUGAUGGUACCGUAAGAAUAAGCACCGGCUAACUACGUG